This 446-nucleotide ribosomal RNA is filed under the name Pseudomonas aeruginosa. RNAcentral's name for it is "bacterial SSU rRNA". It matches the Rfam family "Bacterial small subunit ribosomal RNA", at positions 338 to 794 of the family's 1533-position model. The record is from RNAcentral. Lineage: Bacteria; Pseudomonadati; Pseudomonadota; Gammaproteobacteria; Pseudomonadales; Pseudomonadaceae.
CCUACGGGCGGCUGCAGUGGGGAAUAUUGCACAAUGGGCGGAAGCCUGAUGCAGCGACGCCGCGUGGGGGAUGACGGCCUUCGGGUUGUAAACUCCUUUCGACAGGGACGAAGCUUUUUGUGACGGUACCUGUAUAAGAAGCACCGGCUAACUACGUGCCAGCAGCCGCGGUAAUACGUAGGGUGCGAGCGUUGUCCGGAAUUACUGGGCGUAAAGAGCUCGUAGGUGGUUUGUCGCGUCGUCUGUGAAAUUCCGGGGCUUAACUCCGGGCGUGCAGGCGAUACGGGCAUAACUUGAGUGCUGUAGGGGAGACUGGAAUUCCUGGUGUAGCGGUGAAAUGCGCAGAUAUCAGGAGGAACACCGAUGGCGAAGGCAGGUCUCUGGGCAGUAACUGACGCUGAGGAGCGAAAGCAUGGGUAGCGAACAGGAUUAGAUACCCGGGUAGU